Molecule: ribosomal RNA, 253 nt
Filed under: uncultured bacterium
Lineage: Bacteria
Description: partial 16S ribosomal RNA
Rfam family: Bacterial small subunit ribosomal RNA
Source: RNAcentral
UACGUAGGGGGCUAGCGUUGUCCGGAAUCAUUGGGCGUAAAGAGCGUGUAGGCGGCUCGGUAAGUCCGCUGUGAAAGUCCAGGGCUCAACCCUGGAAUGCCAGUGGAAACUGUCGGGCUAGAGUCCGGAAGAGGCGAGUGGAAUUCCUGGUGUAGCGGUGGAAUGCGCAGAUAUCAGGAGGAACACCGAUGGCGAAGGCAGCUCGCUGGGACGGUACUGACGCUGAGACGCGAAAGCGUGGGGAGCGAACAGG